This 486-nucleotide ribosomal RNA is filed under the name uncultured bacterium. RNAcentral describes it as "partial 16S ribosomal RNA". It matches the Rfam family "Bacterial small subunit ribosomal RNA", at positions 30 to 507 of the family's 1533-position model. The record is from RNAcentral.
AUUGAACGCUGGCGGCAUGCCUUACACAUGCAAGUCGAACGGCAGCACGGGUGCUUGCACCUGGUGGCGAGUGGCGAACGGGUGAGUAAUACAUCGGAACAUGUCCUGUAGUGGGGGAUAGCCCGGCGAAAGCCGGAUUAAUACCGCAUACGAUCUACGGAUGAAAGCGGGGGACCUUCGGGCCUCGCGCUAUAGGGUUGGCCGAUGGCUGAUUAGCUAGUUGGUGGGGUAAAGGCCUACCAAGGCGACGAUCAGUAGCUGGUCUGAGAGGACGACCAGCCACACGGGGACUGAGCCACGGCCCAGACUCCUACGGGAGGCAGCAGUGGGGAAUUUUGGACAAUGGGCGAAAGCCUGAUCCAGCAAUGCCGCGUGUGUGAAGAAGGCCUUCGGGUUGUAAAGCACUUUUGUCCGGAAAGAAAUCCUUGGCCCUAAUACGGUCGGGGGAUGACGGUACCGGAAGAAUAAGCACCGGCUAACUACGUG